RNAcentral lists this transfer RNA (75 nucleotides) under Mycoplasmataceae bacterium. RNAcentral's name for it is "tRNA-Gln". It matches the Rfam family "tRNA". Rfam says of the family: Transfer RNA (tRNA) molecules are approximately 80 nucleotides in length. Their secondary structure includes four short double-helical elements and three loops (D, anti-codon, and T loops). Lineage: Bacteria; Bacillati; Mycoplasmatota; Mollicutes; Mycoplasmatales; Mycoplasmataceae. The record is from RNAcentral.
UGGAAUGUAGCCAAGCGGUAAGGCCUUCGAUUCUGAAUCGAAUAUGCGAUGGUCCGAAUCCAUCUAUUCCAACCA